GACGAACGCUGGCGGCGUGCUUAACACAUGCAAGUCGAACGGAAAGGCCUCUUUCGGGGGGUACUCGAGUGGCGAACGGGUGAGUAACACGUGAGUAACCUGCCCUUGACUUUGGGAUAACUUCAGGAAACUGGGGCUAAUACCGGGUAGGAGCUCCUGCUGCAUGGUGGGGGUUGGAAAGUUUCGGCGGUUGGGGAUGGACUCGCGGCUUAUCAGCUUGUUGGUGGGGUAGUGGCCUACCAAGGCUUUGACGGGUAGCCGGCCUGAGAGGGUGACCGGCCACAUUGGGACUGAGAUACGGCCCAGACUCCUACGGGAGGCAGCAGUGGGGAAUAUUGCACAAUGGGUGGAAGCCUGAUGCAGCAACGCCGUGUGCGGGAUGACGGCCUUCGGGUUGUAAACCGCUUUCGCUCAUGACGAAGCUUUGUGUGACGGUAGUGGGUAAAGAAGCACCGGCUAACUACGUG
RNAcentral lists this ribosomal RNA (467 nucleotides) under uncultured bacterium. RNAcentral describes it as "partial 16S ribosomal RNA". It matches the Rfam family "Bacterial small subunit ribosomal RNA", at positions 28 to 507 of the family's 1533-position model. The record is from RNAcentral.